CCUUUUUUUAAGUUUCACUGUCUGUCUUCUAAACUUCGCUGAUGCAGCUGGUCGUCUUUGUGUGAAUCUGCGUGUGAAGAAAGCAGAGGAGUGGAGUUACUCAGAGACUGACUGGAUUAAACACACCAAAGGUUUAUAUUCCAGUUGGACCGUAUCUCUUACCAAGGUCUGCACUACGUAUCAGGAUUUGAUCUUAUUCAGGUGAAGGUAGAAAGUGUGUGUGAGCUGAUGUGAAUUGAGC
This is a non-coding RNA of Maylandia zebra (zebra mbuna), 241 nucleotides long. The record is from RefSeq and is a predicted model, not a curated record. Lineage: Eukaryota; Metazoa; Chordata; Actinopteri; Cichliformes; Cichlidae.